This 1014-nucleotide long non-coding RNA is filed under the name Mus spicilegus (steppe mouse). RNAcentral's name for it is "lncRNA (ENSMSIG00000001816.1)". The record is from RNAcentral. Lineage: Eukaryota; Metazoa; Chordata; Mammalia; Rodentia; Muridae.
GUAUCCAAAAGGAAGUAGGGACCACUAGAACAGAGGUUUUCUCAGCCUUCCUACUGCUGAGAGCACAGUUCGUCAUGUUGUGGUGAGCCUCAACCGUAAACAUAUUUGUUGCUACUUCUUAACUGUAAUUUUGCUACUGUUAUGAAUCAUAAUGUAAAUAACCGAUAUGUAGAAUAUCUCAUAUGCAGCCCCCAAGGGGUCAAAAGCCACAGGUUGAGAACCAGCUAGAAUAAGGAGUUCUCAGGUGAUCCUGAAAGCAUUUUUCCAAACUCCAGCAGGUCCAUCUUGCGUGCGCUCGACUGGCCAGGAAGAACGACGUUGCAACAGGAUCCUUCUGCACACGUUUAUUGGGAGAACUUGAUUGUAGAGGCAAAGUGACCCCAAGCCCAGAACUGGUGCUGCUUUUAUAGGCCUAGGAGAGGCGUGUCUCACAUCUGAUUGGUUAACUUGUCUUGGCAAAAGAACCUUCACUGCCUAUGUAUGUGUGGUGGCCAGCAGUAGCCAACUGCCACUCUGCAACUGUCACUCUGCAACGGCUUCCCACAGGUCCAGACCUCUGGAGGCAGAGAAGAAGACAGACAGAGGCUUUACGGAUAAGUCUCUCAGAUAAAAAUAACAGGCAAGGAGCAUUCUCUAAGAAAAAUGCAGGUCUUAUGAAAGAAACAGCUAAUUCUGAUCUCCUCCAAUUUACAGACCAUCAUCUAAUCAUCUUCUCACUUUUACCUUUGGAUGUCUCCUGGCCUUGACCGCUGUGGGUGUCCUUCCUCUUUGAGUCCUAAGCCAUCUGUCUUUGAACAGCUGAGCUGCUGAGAACUCAAAGUCGAGUUCCAGUUGGCUGGGAGUUCAGCUGAAUUAGGCAGGAAGUGAUCUCCUCGAGAAGACCUGGGGUGGAGGAGAUGAAAUCCUCAGUUAAGGAGGAGACAUUUCUGGCCAACAUGCUAGACGACUUGACAUGGGCACUAGCCAGACUGUUGAUACAAUGGAGAAUAAAUUUCAUUACCUUCCUAUGGCUCA